UUUUGGGGGUAUCUCACUAAGCUUUCGGGCUUAUAGUUGUGAUUUAAUGUUUUUCAGGUUCGUCAGGAGACCGUGGCAAGGCAAAGGCGUGAUCGUACCGCUCCUCAUGAUUGAAGGCUCCUCAUGACUGGUCCAGUCACACAGUAGACCCAAAGUGCAUGGUUGUUCUGUGUUCUGUUAUGAUAUGGCAUGUUGUGCGUGUAUGGUAUAUGUGGUUGGUAUUUUGGGGGUAUCUCACUAAGCUUUCGGGCUUACAGUUGUGGUUUAAUGUUUUUCAGGUUCUUCAGGAGACCGUGGCAAGGCAAAGGCGUGAUCGUACCGCUCCUCAUGAUUAUGUUUUAUGAUGUGGUUCUGGGAAGACUCUGAUAAAUAAUUGUAGUGAAUACCUUUUUGUAAUAUCUUUAUGAAACCGGGUUGUUUUUGAAAAGUUUAAAUUGGUUGAAAUUUUUAGAGUGUUACAAGUUGGUAUCAGAGCCUUGGUUUGAGUGAAUUGGAGGAACAUUCGCGUGAAUCCAGUCUCAAAUCAAGGAGAGUUUUCAAAAGAGAAUUUAAAAUGGUUUUCAAAAUGAGUAAAGGAGGACGCGGAGGUACGGUCAGCGGAGCGAAUAAGUAACCCAAAAAUACCAUACAUGAUAUUUGUUUUUGAGCUAUGAUAGAACAACAUGCUAGUACUAGGCUAGGGAUCUUCAGGAUUUCAUGAUAAUGUUGCCUGAUUUAUGAUGCCUGCUAGCCUAGGGUUUCUUCUGUGGGAGAUUUCCAGUGUUCCUCUAGGAGUGAGGGUUGAGUG
Molecule: long non-coding RNA, 787 nt
Filed under: Lactuca sativa (garden lettuce)
Lineage: Eukaryota; Viridiplantae; Streptophyta; Magnoliopsida; Asterales; Asteraceae
Description: long non-coding RNA (LSAT_LNC006728)
Source: RNAcentral